Sphaerodactylus townsendi is the source of this 107-nucleotide small nuclear RNA. NCBI's taxonomy places the organism in Eukaryota, Metazoa, Chordata, Lepidosauria, Squamata, Sphaerodactylidae. The record is from RefSeq and is a predicted model, not a curated record.
GUAGAAUUUGGUGACACGUAUACUACUAUUGCAAUGAUACAGAGAAGAUGAGCAGGGCCCCUGUGCAAUGACCCUAUUGAUGGUCCACUGAAUUGUGAUUAAAUGUU